CCUUGGUUCGCAUACACGGAUGAAGAAUCGAGGUUUUUUUUUAGGGACGUUAGACCGAACAAUUUCAACAAAUUUCACCGGCGAUCGGCAUGGCAGACGACGGUAAUCAUCAUCCCCAGGGUAUCCCCCACAGUAUCAACUCAAACUUUGACGAUGAUUUUGAGAAGUCCGAUGAAAACUCGCCGUUGUUGUCAAGCGGUGUUCCGCGGGGAGCGAGUUGCAACGAUGUCGAGUACCGGGGCCCGCUGACGGGUUGCGGGGCAUGGAAGCUCUGUGACCCGCGGAGCGCCUGGCACCGUUACACCUUCAUACUGAUUCUAACUUGUCUACUCAGUUUCGGAAGCUACUACUGUUAUGACACCCCCUCUGCACUGGAGGAAGUCAUCAAAGACGAUAUGCAAAUUGAUACAUCAACCUAUGAACUGCUAUACUCCCUGUACUCAUGGCCAAACGUAGUGCUUUGUUUCUUUGGAGGAUUUCUGUUGGACAGAGUGUUUGGCAUCAGAAUUGGAACUCUCGUUUUUGGUGGUUUCGUCCUUACAGGACAGUUGAUCUUUGCACUUGGAGCUCUGUUCGACAGUUGGAUCUGCAUGGUCGCCGGACGAUUUGUUUUCGGGCUUGGUGGUGAGAAUCUAGCUGUUGCACAGAAUACGUAUGCAGUCACAUGGUUUAAAGAGAAAGAGUUGAACAUGGUGUUUGGGCUACAGCUCAGCUUUUCUAGAAUUGGCAGCACGUUGAACAUGAAUGUCAACAAGCCAAUUUAUGACUCGAUCAACAAUGACUUGUUACCAUACCAACGUCUGGGAUACACUCUUCUUGUUGGUGUUGCUAUGUGUGUGUUUUCUGUCAUUUGCGGGAUUGUUAUCGGUAUCCUGGACUUCCGUGCUGAGAAACUUUUGAACAGAAAUAAGGCCAGCACAGGAGAAGUUAUCCGGAUUCGUGACAUCAAGGAUUUCCCGGCCAAUCUCUGGCUGAUCUUUCUCAUCUGUGUUUUCUACUACAUCACAGUCUUUCCGUUCAUCACAAUUGGAGUAGUCUUCUUUUCGGAGAAGUACGAGCUGACUCCUGCCGCGGCGAACAUCGUCAACAGCCUGGUGUACUUCAUUUCUGCUGGCGCUUCUCCAAUCUUUGGCUUCAUUGUGGACAAGACAGGACGCAACAUCUUCUGGGUGAUCAUAGGAACAGUCAUCACCCUGGGGUGCCACCUAACUCUGGCGUUUACUUUCAUUACGCCCUUCGCUGUCAUGUCAGUGAUGGGACUAGCCUACUCCAUCCUGGCAUGUUCUCUCUGGCCACUGGUUGCUUUCAUCAUGCCAGAACACCAACUCGGCACUUCCUAUGGCUUUAUGCAGUCUAUUCAGAACCUUGGUUUGGCUGUGGUGUCCAUCAUUGUGGGCGUCAUAGUCGAUGGAAGCGGCUACCUGAUCUUAGAAGUCUUCAUGUGUGCCAUGCUGUGUGUGGCAAUCAUGUUCAGCGUACUGUUGUACCUCAUCGAUGCCUCCCGUGGAACCGGUCUGAACUUCUCCGCCAAGGAGCGCAGACUGAUCAAGGAGGCUAAAAAACGGGAGAAGGAAAUGCAAACCAGUUGUGAUUAGGAAUAACAAAGUAAGUCUAAGAAACAGUUAUAAAACUGUAGCAACUGGCGUUCUGUGUGCGCAUGCAUACGGGUGUGUUUGUUGCUCGCUGUGCAUGCUGUUCCCAUGCACAGCAGAGUUGGGUUCAAACAUUUCAUGAAAGGGUAGUUUAGAUAAGUGUGAUUAACUUUCAACUUAUUUUUGUAUUGAAAUUGAAGAAAACUUUUAUUGGAUUUUGGUUAAAUCAAUUUAUGACUCAAAGUCGAGCAGAAUUGGUUAGGUAUUAUAAAACAAAUAUUGACUGCUUUUUCUCGUGGCGUAGUAAAACUAGCCUCCCUCAGUGAUAUAUACUGUUCCAUGUCGCCCGGCUACGCAUCUGGAAGACACACUAGUCGGAGCAGUCAAGAUUUGUAUAGUAUAACUCAUUAUUUUGUAAAAUAUCUAGACAUAUCAGACGUUAUACGGGAGAAUUGGCUCCGUGGAUAACGGGCGAUACUCAGACUACCAGCUGGUGGGCUUGGGAGUAAAAAAAUAAUGUAAGUUAAAGAAGAAUAGAGAUAAGGCUGAUAUUAUUUGCCUUUGUAGAACUUAGCAAUUUAUAAUUACUGUUCUUUUCAAUGAAUAUUAAAGUUUUUGUAUAAUUAGCACAUUUAAGGCCACUUUAAAUAUAUACUGCAGUUGAUUAAAAUACCUAAAUUUAUAAAUUGAUGGUGUUGGGAAAUUAUACAGUUUAUUGGAAGCAUAAAGGGCUUCCUGCUGUUGUCUGAAAUGUCUGCCUAAAUGUUUGCCAUUGUGUAAUGAAGGAAAAUUGGGAAUUACUUAACUCUAAACUUUUAUUGGAGAAGCUUUCCUGAUCUGCCAAAAUGCAACCCUGUACAGAAACUCAGAAUGGAUUGUAAUUGGAAGUUGAAAGGUUUUGAAUUCCUUAAUCAACAGUGGCAGAGAUAUCAUUGUUUCCAUGUUUUUUUCCCCCCCAAAAUAUUGCACUUAAGAUUGCAUUUGUAGAUUUAAGGUAGUCAGGGUUUACUAAGUAACCCAUUAGCACAAAAGUAAGUUGUUUUACGUCGUAUUUCUUUCUAUUUUCUAGAUGAAUCCAUUAAACCAUAAAGUGCUAGGGUGGUUUAGGGCAGAACAGGGAGUAACAGGCAGGGUAAUUUAAAGGCUUAGUGGGAGUACAGGGAGUUAUGAGUUAAUUUCUGAAUUUGUCCAUGAACUAUUUUCUACUUCAAAGCCAACAGUGUUUUCAACAGGAUUUGGGUUCAGAAAUUUUAAAGGUCUGUAAUGAACUGAACUUUGCUAUUGGAAGUACAUGUAGAAGUAAAAUAUGUACUAUAGAUAUUGACCUGUUCAAUGAAACAUGGACUUAAAUCAAUCAAAAAUAUGUUGUUUAAAAAAGACGACCAGAAAAAUACAAUGUCCGAAACUACCUUGCAGUGGUUGAGUACUUUAAUCUCUAAAUAAGCCCAUAGUUGGAUUAAUUGUUUGUAAAAUUAAUUUUUGCCGUACAGUAAGCCUUUUCAUUGUAUUAUAAACAUUUUGUAUAUUAAAAUUAUGUUGUCUGUUGGAAACGUGCAGAACAAAGACAGCAAUAACAAAGUUCCUUCCAUUCAUGAA
This 3188-nucleotide unclassified non-coding RNA is filed under the name Patiria miniata (bat star). RNAcentral describes it as "major facilitator superfamily domain-containing protein 1-like, transcript variant X1". The record is from RNAcentral. Lineage: Eukaryota; Metazoa; Echinodermata; Asteroidea; Valvatida; Asterinidae.